This 450-nucleotide ribosomal RNA is filed under the name uncultured bacterium. Its description in RNAcentral is "partial 16S ribosomal RNA". It matches the Rfam family "Bacterial small subunit ribosomal RNA", at positions 354 to 796 of the family's 1533-position model. The record is from RNAcentral.
GUGGGGAAUAUUGGACAAUGGGGGAAACCCUGAUCCAGCCAUGCCGCGUGUGUGAAGAAGGCCUUCGGGUUGUAAAGCACUUUAAGCAGGGAGGAAAGGGUGUUGGCUAAUAUCCAGCAUCAUUGACGUUACCUGCAGAAUAAGCACCGGCUAACUUCGUGCCAGCAGCCGCGGUAAUACGAAGGGUGCAAGCGUUAAUCGGAAUUACUGGGCGUAAAGCGCGCGUAGGUGGUUUUGUAAGUUGGAGGUGAAAUCCCCGGGCUCAACCUGGGAACUGCCUCCAAAACUGCAUGACUAGAGUACGGUAGAGGGUAGUGGAAUUUCCUGUGUAGCGGUGAAAUGCGUAGAUAUAGGAAGGAACACCAGUGGCGAAGGCGACUACCUGGACUGAUACUGACACUGAGGUGCGAAAGCGUGGGGAGCAAACAGGAUUAGAAACCCCUGUAGUCC